Molecule: long non-coding RNA, 830 nt
Organism: Rhododendron vialii
Lineage: Eukaryota; Viridiplantae; Streptophyta; Magnoliopsida; Ericales; Ericaceae
Exons: 2
Source: RefSeq, a predicted model, not a curated record
GCGGAGCAGACUUGCAGAGAUCGGAGGUUGAUCGAGGCAAACAUGCGCGGAGCUAGUGAGCAAGGAUACACUCGGGUUGGUAGUGACACAGGCGCUCACUAGUGCAUUGGUUUGCGGAGAUGAUUGACAGUGAUCGGAAGCAGUCUGGUUCAAUCGGAUUUUGUGCUCUGUGAUUGGGCACGGUGCGUUCGGGGUUCAGCCGCGGAAGAUCUGGUCUUGCAAGGAGACACUCGGUCAGUUGGUAGAUACACUUCCGGUGUGGGGGUGGUGAAACUUCUGAUGGCUAGCAGUGACACAGGCGCUUGACUAGAGGGGCAGAACGGGAUUGACGAACGCGGAUUACAGCAUCCAGGGGGUGAUGCGGGCGCUCAAGCAGCAGAGGAGCGCGGAUAGAAAUGGACUUUGCUGCGGACAUCUCGGGAUUGGGAUGUGGAGCAUUCGGACAACGCUGCGGAUUCAACGAUUACCCCACUCGGGUGUAGGGGGUGAUUGUUGGGGUACACCCUUAGUGGGUGGGUGUGACCACAGGGGAUCACUUCCCCUUGUUGUAUGAAAAGUGCAGUGUGUGCACUGUGUGUGUGUGAGUAAAGCUGAAGGUGGAGCUGCCACCGUUAUUGGGGAAUUUGAUUUUGAAUCUACUGCAGAUCUGUCCGCUGAAGUUAUUGGGAGUGAGUUUGAUGGUGGUUCAAGCUCAGUCCACCUGAUUCAAUGUUAAGCACCUUCGGGGUGCAUGCGCCUCUGGGGCGCCUGGCUCAAUCGAGGUUGAGCAUUUGGCUUGAUGUGGGUCAAGCAUCUGAAUUUGUAUAUGAAUCUGUUGCCGGGACUUUUGA